UACGUAGGGGGAAAGCGUUGUCCGGAAUCACUGGGCGUAAAGCGCGCGCAGGCGGUCAUCUACGUCUGGGGUGAAAGCCCGGAGCUCAACUCCGGGAUUGCCUUGGAUACGGGAUGACUUGAGGAUCGGAGAGGCAAGGGGAAUUCCACGUGUAGCGGUGAAAUGCGUAGAGAUGUGGAGGAACACCUGUGGCGAAGGCGCCUUGCUGGCCGAUUUCUGACGCUGAGGCGCGAAAGCGUGGGGAGCAAACAGG
This 253-nucleotide ribosomal RNA is filed under the name uncultured bacterium. RNAcentral's name for it is "partial 16S ribosomal RNA". It matches the Rfam family "Bacterial small subunit ribosomal RNA", at positions 524 to 776 of the family's 1533-position model. The record is from RNAcentral.